ACCUGAGCCCAUAGUUAGCUGCCUCACUGACUGAGCCCCCAGGCGGCCCCAGACUUUCUGUUUUAAAAUGCAAUCAGCCCUUUGAGGCAAGUGGGUGGAACAAAACCUCGAGAGGGAGCGCCGGAAUCCCAAAAGCUCUGUGUGUGAUCCAGCGCCCCGAGAAAGAGCAAGAAUUCGCACCACAAGCGUGACAUCACCCCGUGGGACACCAAAUGACAGAAGAUUCGAGAAAGCCACAGGAACCGGCGAGGGGACCCAGCGGGAGAGAAAACCUCGUCCACAGGGGGAGGGAGAAAGCGGUACUUAAGGACAAGCCUGACCCCGAAUGUGCAGCGUCUACAGGAGAUCUACGUUUCUCACCCUUCGGAGAGCCCGCCCUGCCACCCGGAACGGACGCGCAGACACCCCGAGCGCCUGGACAUGAGGACUCACGGCAGCGGACAACGCCAGCUCUCUAACCUGGAGAUUUUUAAAUUUAGUGUGAUUUCCAUAAAAAUAAUAACUGGUUUUCUUUGUGAA
Molecule: long non-coding RNA, 519 nt
Organism: Suricata suricatta (meerkat)
Lineage: Eukaryota; Metazoa; Chordata; Mammalia; Carnivora; Herpestidae
Exons: 2
Source: RefSeq, a predicted model, not a curated record